AUACUUACCUGGACGGGGUUAAUGGGCAAUCAUGAAGGCCCAUGGCCUAGGAAGGUGACCUCCAUUGCACUUAGGAGGGGUGCUUGCUUAUGGUCUCCCUAAAUUGGGAGAGCCAACGUCAUAAUUUGUGCCAGUGGGGGCCUGCGUUCGCGCGGCCCCUGC
Prunus persica (peach) is the source of this 162-nucleotide small nuclear RNA. It matches the Rfam family "U1 spliceosomal RNA". From Rfam's summary of the family: U1 is a small nuclear RNA (snRNA) component of the spliceosome (involved in pre-mRNA splicing). Its 5' end forms complementary base pairs with the 5' splice junction, thus defining the 5' donor site of an intron. There are significant differences in sequence and secondary structure between metazoan and yeast U1 snRNAs, the latter being much longer (568 nucleotides as compared to 164 nucleotides in human). The record is from Rfam. Lineage: Eukaryota; Viridiplantae; Streptophyta; Magnoliopsida; Rosales; Rosaceae.